UCACAGUUGCCACCUUCAACCAUUAAGCAGCAGAUAGAGCAGAAUCCGAUCAUACUAAAAUGGCACUCCCCUCGUUAAUAUUCACAGCCCCAAGAGCCCAGGAUUCCCAAAUCUUCACCCCCAAAUUGUCUUCAACUGUUAAAUCCGCUCCUUCUUCUUCUUCUUCUUCUUCAGUUUCUGCUUCUAAGAAGGCAAUAUGCAAUAUGGGCAUUGGGCUUCUGGCUGCUUCGGUUCUGGCUCUGUCUCCCAUGGAUGCCAGCGCAACCAGAAUUGAAUACUAUGCGACUGUUGGGGAUCCUCUAUGCGAGUUCAAUUAUGUGCCUUCUGGGCUUGGCUAUUGUGACAUCGCCCUGGGUUCCGGUGAGAAAGUUCCUUAUGGUGAGCUUAUCAAUGUUCAUUACACUGCACGGUUUGCUGAUGGGAUAGUGUUUGACAGCAGCUAUAAGCGUGCUAGACCUCUCACCAUGCGUAUUGGUGUUGGCAAGGUAAUAAGAGGAUUGGAUCAGGGAAUAUUAGGGGGUGAAGGAGUACCUCCAAUGCUAGUAGGUGGCAAACGUAAGCUUCAGAUUCCUCCACAUUUAGCAUAUGGACCAGAACCAGCAGGCUGCUUUUCAGGUGACUGCAAUAUACCUGGCAAUGCAACUCUUGUGUAUGAUAUAAAUUUCGUUGGAGUCUACUCAGGAAAUAGAAAGUGAAGGAAAUGAUGUCCAUUUUCCUACUAAUUUGUUGAAGAUAGACAACGCAGAGUAUCCAGAAUUUAAGUCGAAGCUAACUGGCAAUGCAAAAGAAGUGUACAUCUUUCUGAAAUUUCCAAGGAUCUGGAACCCAAGCUGAAUAUUAAGGCAGAAUACUUGGUUUUUCUCCAAAUACCCACCAGAAGGAUUAACAGUCCAUUUUAGCUGAAAAUCCCAUCUGGACAUGGUUGAAAUUGCUCAUUUUCAAUCAGCAAAACAUGUACUUGAUGUUUUUACAAGCUAUGACAGUAUUUACAUGCCGGGUGCUAUUAUACUUUGUAAAAGUAGUCAGUAACUUUUUCAAAUGGAAUCAAAUGGGCACAUUUGUUCGAACA
Molecule: non-coding RNA, 1069 nt
Organism: Momordica charantia (bitter melon)
Lineage: Eukaryota; Viridiplantae; Streptophyta; Magnoliopsida; Cucurbitales; Cucurbitaceae
Source: RefSeq, a predicted model, not a curated record